GAUGAAGAACGUAGCGAAAUGCGAUACGUAAUGUGAAUUGCAGAAUUCAGUGAAUCAUCGAAUCUUUGAACGCAUAUUGCGCUCUCUGGUAUUCCGGAGAGCAUGCUUGUUUGAGUAUCAGUAAACACCUCAACUUCCAUAUCUUUUUUGAAAUGGGAGUUGGACUUGAGUGAUCCCAACGCUUUUCCUCACCGAAAAGUGGCGGGUUACUUGAAAUGCAGGUGCAGCUGGACUUUUCUCUGAGCUAUAAGCAUAUCUAUUUAGUCUGCCUAAAAAACAGAUUAUUACCUUUGCUGCAGCUAACAUAAAGGAGAUUAGUUCUUGUGCUGACUGAUGCAGGAUUCACAAAGACAGCUUCGGCCGACUUUGUAAACUCGAUCUCUAAUCAAGUAAGACUACCCGCUGAACUUAAGCAUAUCAAUAAGCGGAGGA
Molecule: unclassified non-coding RNA, 432 nt
Filed under: soil metagenome
Description: partial contains 5.8S ribosomal RNA, internal transcribed spacer 2, and large subunit ribosomal RNA
Rfam family: 5.8S ribosomal RNA (bases 1-120)
Source: RNAcentral